CCUUGCUGCCUUUCUUGGACGUUUCCUCCCUAAACUUGAGCCUGCCCUCCGGGGCAGGCUUUUUUUCGCAGUUUU
Molecule: small RNA, 75 nt
Filed under: Magnetospirillum sp. LM-5
Lineage: Bacteria; Pseudomonadati; Pseudomonadota; Alphaproteobacteria; Rhodospirillales; Rhodospirillaceae
Description: suhB
Rfam family: Makes More Granules Regulator RNA (mmgR)
About the family: SuhB later renamed mmgR (makes more granules regulator) was a putative non-coding RNA found multiple times in the Agrobacterium tumefaciens genome and related alpha-proteobacteria. Other non-coding RNAs uncovered in the same analysis include: speF, ybhL, metA, and serC. Several studies inSinorhizobium meliloti showed that suhB element is indeed a non-coding RNA:firstly it was detected on Northern blot and called Sm8RNA, secondly in an RNAseq study referred to as SmelC689.
Source: RNAcentral